This 869-nucleotide long non-coding RNA is filed under the name Apteryx owenii (little spotted kiwi). RNAcentral describes it as "lncRNA (ENSAOWG00000016469.1)". The record is from RNAcentral. Lineage: Eukaryota; Metazoa; Chordata; Aves; Apterygiformes; Apterygidae.
CACUGACAGCUGAUCCCUUUGACCCUUUCAUAAUGCUUUGAACCCCAGCAGAAGGUUAGUUCCCUUGAAAACUGCCUUUUUAUGCAUACUCUGUCCCAAACUUCCAAAGCCUCCAGUCCCCCAGCCGAGACCUGGUCUGCAGAGGAGAAGCUUCAAGCAAAUGGGCAGCCAGAUGUAUCAAGCAACUGCUUUGUGCUACUCCCUGUUGUUGAGGGAUGCUCUGAUGAUGGAGAGGUUCUUCUCUGGAGGAAGAGAGAGCAUGGCUGACACGGAAAAAGAUUUGCACCAAGGUUUUCAAGCCCUCAUAUGUGUGAACCUUGUGGCACCUGACUCCUGCUUUUCUGCCAGCUGCUCUGCUGUCUGUCUCAGCCUCCCCUUGGGAAAGGACUCAGGAUGAUUUACUGUUUAGUCUUGUUGGAAACUGAGGAUGUUGGUGGAGACUUCCUCCCUCCCCAGACACGAACACCCAAAGGCACGACGGGUUUUUACUAAGCCUUAAAGAGUGGCUCAAUAUAGGGAAUUCUCUCACAACUCCUGUGUGACUCCAUGAAAUCAGCCCUGCCAACUUUCUGAAGCCUGAAAACAGCUAAAGACAGGAUUCCAAACAGUUAACUUCAAAUAGCUCAUUUUCUCUCAGCUCUCCACAAAUUCCUGUCAUGUUGCAUUACAUGUAAACAACUCAGAAACUUAAUGACAUGCCUUUCAGUCAAAAACUGAUAUGGCUUUUCAGUCUGAGCAGAUUAAUUGCAGUUUGUAACAAUAUGAAGUGUUGCAGUCUGAUUAGAGUUUCUAUUGCUUUUGGGGAUAAAAUAUUUUAUGUGAAUGUAAAGCCAAGUUUUUUGCUGGCAUGACUUUAUUGACUUCUGCAG